AACGAACGCUGGUGGUAUGCUUAAUACAUGCAAGUCGAACGGGCAUAGCAAUAUGUCAGUGGCAAACGGGUGAGGAAUAUAUAGGAACCUCCCUAGCAGUAAGGAAUAACUUUGGGAAACCAAAGCUAAUGCCAUAUAUUACCCCUUAAGAAAUUAAGGGGGAAAGAUUUAUCGCUGUUAGAUGGGCCUGUAUCAGAUUAGCUAGUUGGUAGGGUAAUGGCCUACCAAGGCAAUGAUCUGUAGCUGGUCUGAGAGGAUGAUCAGCCACACUGGAACUCAGACACGGUCCAGACCGCUACGGGAGGCAGCAGUAGGGAAUAUUGGACAAUGGGCGCAAGCCUGAUCAAGCGAUACCACGUGAGUGAUGAAGGUCUUCGGAUUGUAAAGCUCUUUUAGUAGGGAAGAUAAUGACGGUACCUACAGAAAAAGCACCGGCUAACUUCGUGCCAGCCGCCGCCGUAA
RNAcentral lists this ribosomal RNA (462 nucleotides) under uncultured bacterium. RNAcentral's name for it is "partial 16S ribosomal RNA". It matches the Rfam family "Bacterial small subunit ribosomal RNA", at positions 29 to 523 of the family's 1533-position model. The record is from RNAcentral.